This 502-nucleotide ribosomal RNA is filed under the name uncultured bacterium. Its description in RNAcentral is "bacterial SSU rRNA". It matches the Rfam family "Bacterial small subunit ribosomal RNA", at positions 28 to 524 of the family's 1533-position model. The record is from RNAcentral.
GAUGAACGUUAGCGGGAGGCUUAAUACAUGCAAGUCGAGCGGUAAGUUUUUAUAGCAAUAUGAAGACCUAGAGCGGCGCACGGGUGAGUAACGCGUACACGACCUGGCCUAAACUGGGGGAUAGCCUUGGGAAACUGAAAGUAAUCCCGCAUGUGAUUAUGUUACUGAUGGUGAUAUAAUUAAAGCUUCGGCGGUUUAGGAUGGGUGUGCGUCUGAUUAGCUAGUUGGUAGUGUAACGGACUACCAAGGCGAUGAUCAGUAGGGGGCGUGAGAGCGUGACCCCCCACACGGGUACUGAGACACGGACCCGACUCCUACGGGAGGCAGCAGUAAGGAAUAUUGGUCAAUGCCCGGAAGGGUGAACCAGCCAUCCCGCGUGAAGGAUGAAGGGGCUCUGCCUUGUAAACUUCUUUUGUAUGGGGCGAAAAAAGGGGAUUUAUCCUCGACUGACGGUACCAUAAGAAUAAGCACCGGCUAACUCCGUGCCAGCAGCCGCGGUAAU